CUCCUUCCUACAUCUUGUUCCCCAUGCACAACAGACGUCUAAUAAAGCUCGCUGGGUAAAGAGUGAAGAAACCUGGCUGCAGGACAUACACACAGGCGUGUGAAUAUCUAGAAUGAAUGCCAGCCAGUAGGAACUCCAAAGAGCCCUGCACAACUAUCCUCAGGAGACAACGGCAGCAGACAGCAGCUGUGCUGUCGCACCGAUGACCCCAGGAGCCUAGGAAGAAGACAAUCUAAGAACUCUGCACAGGAAGGAAAUUGGCCUGUGUGCCUACUCAGACACCUUGCAAAGCGUGCAUCAUCUUUUUAUUCAACUGCUUCCUCCUCCUGCUGCCCCUCCACCACCUCCAUCACCAUCACCUCCACCACCACCACCACCACCUCCACCAGAGGCUUGGAGUAGUUUGUACUAUGAGCUCCGGACAGACACUGUCUGUCCAAACUCUCCUCCUAACCUACACAUUUCCUCUGACACGGCUCAGCUGCCUCUCUUGUUCCUUAGUUUCCUCAUCUGCAGCAACUCAGAGGCUUUUGAUGAUUAAGAGACAA
This is a non-coding RNA of Rattus norvegicus (Norway rat), 548 nucleotides long. NCBI's taxonomy places the organism in Eukaryota, Metazoa, Chordata, Mammalia, Rodentia, Muridae. The record is from RefSeq and is a predicted model, not a curated record.